RNAcentral lists this non-coding RNA (30 nucleotides) under unclassified sequences. RNAcentral's name for it is "L31-Firmicutes ribosomal protein leader". It matches the Rfam family "L31-Firmicutes ribosomal protein leader". The record is from RNAcentral.
CUAUGACAAAAUUUGUCAUGGCGGAAGGAG